UACGUAGGGGGCGAGCGUUGUCCGAAGUUACUGGGCGUAAAGCGCGCGUAGGCGGCUGGUUAAGUGGCCGGUGAAAUCCCCGGGCUCAACCCGGGGUAGACUGGUCAUACUGGCCGGCUGGAGUGUGGGAGAGGAGAGCGGAACUCCUGGUGUAGCGGUGAUAUGCGUAGAGAUCAGGAAGAACACCCGUGGCGAAGGCGGCUCUCUGGACCACAACUGACGCUGAGGUGCGAAAGCCAGGGGAG
RNAcentral lists this ribosomal RNA (245 nucleotides) under uncultured bacterium. Its description in RNAcentral is "partial 16S ribosomal RNA". It matches the Rfam family "Bacterial small subunit ribosomal RNA", at positions 524 to 768 of the family's 1533-position model. The record is from RNAcentral.